Molecule: transfer RNA, 72 nt
Filed under: Actinomycetes bacterium
Lineage: Bacteria; Bacillati; Actinomycetota; Actinomycetes
Also listed under: 1 other name
Description: Actinobacteria bacterium tRNA-Gln
Rfam family: tRNA
About the family: Transfer RNA (tRNA) molecules are approximately 80 nucleotides in length. Their secondary structure includes four short double-helical elements and three loops (D, anti-codon, and T loops).
Source: RNAcentral
CUCGGGCUGGUGCAACCGGAAGCACAGCACGCUCUGAACGUGCGGAUCGGGGUUCGAAUCCUUGGCCCGAGG